This 307-nucleotide ribosomal RNA is filed under the name uncultured bacterium. Its description in RNAcentral is "bacterial SSU rRNA". It matches the Rfam family "Bacterial small subunit ribosomal RNA", at positions 28 to 333 of the family's 1533-position model. The record is from RNAcentral.
GACGAACGCUGGCGGCGUGCUUAACACAUGCAAGUCGAGCGGUAAGGCCCUUUCGGGGGUACGACGAGCGGCGAACGGGUGAGUAACACGUGGGUGACCUGCCCUCCAGCUCUGGGAUAAGCCUGGGAAACCGGGUCUAAUACUGGAUAUGACUCCAUGACGCAUGUUGGUGGGGUGGAAAGCCUUGUGCGGCUGAGGAUGGGCCCGCGGCCUAUCAGCUUGUUGGUGGGGGUGAGGCCUACCAAGGCGACGACGGGUAGCCGGCCUGAGAGGGCGACCGGCCACACUGGGACUGAGACACGGCCCA